GGGGAUGUAGCUCAGUGGUAGAGUGCAUGCUUAGAAGUACACAGGAGGUUUUGGGUUCAAUCCCCAGUACUUCCA
This 75-nucleotide transfer RNA is filed under the name Camelus bactrianus (Bactrian camel). It matches the Rfam family "tRNA". From Rfam's summary of the family: Transfer RNA (tRNA) molecules are approximately 80 nucleotides in length. Their secondary structure includes four short double-helical elements and three loops (D, anti-codon, and T loops). Lineage: Eukaryota; Metazoa; Chordata; Mammalia; Artiodactyla; Camelidae. RNAcentral also lists the same sequence under 2 other names. The record is from Rfam by way of RNAcentral.